Molecule: long non-coding RNA, 132 nt
Filed under: Mustela putorius furo (domestic ferret)
Lineage: Eukaryota; Metazoa; Chordata; Mammalia; Carnivora; Mustelidae
Description: lncRNA (ENSMPUG00000028202.1)
Source: RNAcentral
GCUUGAUAGCUCAUUCCUCUUUGUUGCUAUACUAUUUUGAAUUUCCACCAGCAAUGAAUGAGAAUUGCUGUCGCCCCUCAUUUUCAUCAGCAAGUGAGUGGAUCAUGGAGUCCAAAUUCCCUUCAAGCAAAC